This 253-nucleotide ribosomal RNA is filed under the name uncultured bacterium. RNAcentral describes it as "partial 16S ribosomal RNA". It matches the Rfam family "Bacterial small subunit ribosomal RNA", at positions 524 to 776 of the family's 1533-position model. The record is from RNAcentral.
UACGUAGGGGGCAAGCGUUGUCCGGAAUCAUUGGGCGUAAAGAGCGUGUAGGUUGUUCGAUAAGUCUGCUGUGAAAGUCCAAGGCUCAACCUUGGGAUGCCGGUGGAUACUGUCUGACUAGAGUACGGAAGAGGCGAGUGGAAUUCCUGGUGUAGCGGUGAAAUGCGCAGAUAUCAGGAAGAACACGCGUGGCGAAGGCGGUUCUCUGGGACGGUACUGACGCUGAGACGCGAAAGCGUGGGGAGCGAACAGG